RNAcentral lists this ribosomal RNA (494 nucleotides) under uncultured bacterium. RNAcentral describes it as "partial 16S ribosomal RNA". It matches the Rfam family "Bacterial small subunit ribosomal RNA", at positions 28 to 507 of the family's 1533-position model. The record is from RNAcentral.
GACGAACGCUGGCGGCGUGCUUAACACAUGCAAGUCGAACGGAAAGGCCUGCUUUCCCUUGUGGAUUGCGGGUACUCGAGUGGCGAACGGGUGAGUAACACGUGGGUGAUCUGCCCCCAACUUGGGUAUAAGCCUGGGAAACUGGGUCUAAUUCCCGAUAGGACUGCAGGGUGGUGCCUGUGGUGGAAAACGAUUUUCUAGUGGUUGGGGAUGAGCUCGCGGCCUAUCAGCUUGUUGGUGGGGUAAUGGCCUACCAAGGCGGCGACGGGUAGCCGGCCUGGGAGGGGGGACGGCCACAUUGGGACUGGGAUACGGCCCCGACGCCUACGGGAGGCAGCAGUGGGGAAUAUUGCACCAUGGGCGGAAGCCUGAUGCAGCGACGCAGCGUGGGGGAUGACGGCCUUCGGGUUGUAAACUCCUUUCGACCGCGAGGAAGCCACCUGGUUGGAAGGGUGGUGACGGUAGUGGUAGAAGAAGCACCGGCUAACUACGUG